GAACGCUGGCGGCGUGCCUAAUACAUGCAAGUAGAACGCUGAGGUUUGGUGUUUACACUAGACUGAUGAGUUGCGAACGGGUGAGUAACGCGUAGGUAACCUGCCUCAUAGCGGGGGAUAACUAUUGGAAACGAUAGCUAAUACCGCAUAAGAGUAAUUAACACAUGUUAGUUAUUUAAAAAGGAGCAAUUGCUUCACUGUGAGAUGGACCUGCGUUGUAUUAGCUAGUUGGUGAGGUAAAGGCUCACCAAGGCGACGAUACAUAGCCGACCUGAGAGGGUGAUCGGCCACACUGGGACUGAGACACGGCCCAGACUCCUACGGGAGGCAGCAGUAGGGAAUCUUCGGCAAUGGACGGAAGUCUGACCGAGCAAACGCCGCGUGAGUGAAGAAGGUUUUCGGAUCGUAAAGCUCUGUUGUUAGAGAAGAACGUUGGUAGGAGUGGAAAAUCUACCAAGUGACGGUAACUAACCAGAAAAGGGGACGGGCUAACUACGUGCCAGCAGCCGCGGUAAAU
This 517-nucleotide ribosomal RNA is filed under the name uncultured Streptococcus sp. Its description in RNAcentral is "bacterial SSU rRNA". It matches the Rfam family "Bacterial small subunit ribosomal RNA", at positions 31 to 525 of the family's 1533-position model. Lineage: Bacteria; Bacillati; Bacillota; Bacilli; Lactobacillales; Streptococcaceae. The record is from RNAcentral.